RNAcentral lists this ribosomal RNA (465 nucleotides) under Vreelandella stevensii. RNAcentral's name for it is "partial 16S ribosomal RNA". It matches the Rfam family "Bacterial small subunit ribosomal RNA", at positions 338 to 795 of the family's 1533-position model. The record is from RNAcentral. Lineage: Bacteria; Pseudomonadati; Pseudomonadota; Gammaproteobacteria; Oceanospirillales; Halomonadaceae.
CCUACGGGUGGCUGCAGUGGGGAAUAUUGGACAAUGGGCGAAAGCCUGAUCCAGCCAUGCCGCGUGUGUGAAGAAGGCCUUCGGGUUGUAAAGCACUUUCAGUGGGGAAGAAAGCCUUGGGGCUAAUACCCUCGAGGAAGGACAUCACCCACAGAAGAAGCACCGGCUAACUCCGUGCCAGCAGCCGCGGUAAUACGGAGGGUGCGAGCGUUAAUCGGAAUUACUGGGCGUAAAGCGCGCGUAGGCGGUCUGAUAAGCCGGUUGUGAAAGCCCCGGGCUCAACCUGGGAACGGCAUCCGGAACUGUCAGGCUAGAGUGCAGGAGAGGAAGGUAGAAUUCCCGGUGUAGCGGUGAAAUGCGUAGAGAUCAGGAGGAAUACCAGUGGCGAAGGCGGCCUUCUGGACUGACACUGACGCUGAGGUGCGAAAGCGUGGGUAGCAAACAGGAUUAGAUACCCGAGUAGUC